CUAUCAGUUCACUGCGAACUAGUAGUUCAUUCGAGUUCACAAUAUUUUGUUAGUACGGUUUUAACAAGAGGAAGUUGCGGCAUUUAUUUAUUAACAAUUAAAUUGUAAGCUUCGCAUGCCAGCUUUAAGGAAUCACGAUUAUGACUGCACCGUCAAGUGCCGCCAAGUACAGCAUGGCAAUUGCAUCACGGCGGCGCUCACCAAACGCUCCAUUGAGGAUCAGCCGCUGGCGGCAUUUGUAGCCAAAACGUGUGCCAAUUUCGCAAAUAUUACGGAUUAUCUGGGCCGUUCCGCCGUGCACAUGUGCGCUUCCGUGGCACGCUACAGAAUACUGGAGUGGCUGCUUAACCAUGGCGCGCCCAUUAAUGAGCCAGACUUUGAGUCCGGCAGCAGCCCACUGCAUCGGGCUCUGUACUACGGCUGCAUCGACUGCGCCGUGCUGCUGCUGCGCUACGGCGCCAGCCUGGAACUGCUGGAUGAGGAUACGCGCUGUCCGCUGCAGGCAAUAUGCCGGAAAUGCGAUAUAGAUGCCAACGCCGAAUCGCACAAUGAGGCGCUUGUCUGGGGCUCCAAUAAGAACUAUAAUCUGGGCAUUGGCAAUGAGCAGAAUACACUCACACCGCAGGCCUUGGAUUUCUUUCGCAAAUCGAAUCUGUGGCUGGAGCACGUGGCGCUGGGCGCCUAUCACAGUCUGUUCUGCGACAAGCGCGGUCAUCUCUAUGCCGUGGGUCACGGCAAGGGCGGCCGCCUAGGCAUUGGUCAGGAGAACAGUCUGCCGGCGCCCAAGCGUGUCAAGCUGCCGCUCAAGCACAACGACGAGCGCAUCAUUUCCCUCAGCGUAUCCCGACAGCAUUCGCUGCUGCUCACCAAUCGAUCGCUGGUCUAUGCCUGCGGCAUCAACGAUACCCAUCAGCUGGGCGUGCGUGACGCCGGCGAGCAUCUGACCACAUUCAAGGAGGUGGUCGCGCUACGCGACAAGGGCGCCAGCGAUCUGUUGCGGGUGAUUGCCUGCGAUCAUCAUUCGAUUGCGUAUAGCAGCCGGUGCAUCUAUGUUUGGGGUGCCAAUCAGGGUCAGCUGGGCAUUAGCUGCAAUACCAGGACAAUUGUGGCGCCCGUAUUGAUGAAGCUGGCGGAUCGCACAGUCAUACGCUUCGUGGAGGCCAACAAUGCGGCCACGGUCGUCUACACCGCGGAGAAGCUCAUACUGCUCUUCUAUGCCGACAAGCCCAGAACCCUAAAGACGCCCAACUAUGAGGAUCUCAAGAGCAUCGCUGUGAUGGGCGGCAAUCUGAAGAACUCCGUCAAAGGCUCCAUUGCGGCGCUCAAGCUGAUGAUGUUGACCGAGACGAAUGUGGUGUUCCUCUGGUACGAGAAUACGCAGCAGUUCUACAGAUGCAAUUUUGCGCCCAUACGUUUGCCCGCAAUCAAGCGCAUACUUUACAAGUGCAACCAGGUGCUGGUGCUCUCCAUGGAUGGCUGCGUGUAUCGCGGCAAGUGCAAUCAAUUGACUCUGCCGUCGGGUGCACAGGAGAAGCCCAAGACGAACAAGGACAUCUGGCAGAACAAUGAUCAGCAUCGCACGGAAAUCUCAAGGGAGCACUAUGUCCGCAUCGAUUUGCAGCGUGUGCCGAACAUCGAUCGUGCCGUGGACAUUGUCUGCGACGAGAGCUUCGCCUCGUUUGCCGUGCUCCAGGAAUCGCAUCUCAAGUACUUUCGCAAGCCCGCACUGCCGCGCCGCGAGCACAAUUUCAAGAAGCUCUACCACGACACCAGCGAAGCGGAUGCCGUCCAUGACAUAGUCUUUCAUGUGGAUGGCGAAAACUUUGCGGCGCACAAGUUUAUUGUCUUUAGCCGUGCGCCGGGCUUGCGCGAGCUGGUGCUCUGCUAUCUGGACAAGGAUAUCUACUUGAAUUUCGAGAACUUGACGGGCAAAAUGUUCGAGCUGGUGCUCAAGCACAUUUACACCAACUACUGGCCCACAGAAGAUGACAUUGUGUGCAUGCAACAGAGUCUGGGUCCGAAGAGUCCGGCGCAGCGCAGCCGCGUCUGUGAAAUGUUUCACACGCAUCUGGAGAAAUUUCAGCUACACGAGCUGGCAAAAUAUGUGCAAAGCUACAUUUCGGAGCAACAGUUGCCGCUGCGCGUCAAGCAGCGUUUUGGUCGUCUGCAGCGCUCCCAUCAUCCGGAACUCUACGACAUACGGAUCGUUUGCGAAGAUGGGCAAGUGCUGGAGGCGCACAAGUGCGUUCUGGUGGCGCGUCUGGAGUAUUUUGAGAUGAUGUUCAUGCACUCGUGGGCGGAGCGUAGCACGGUCAAUUUUGAUAGCGUGCCCGUUGAGUAUAUGGAGCCCGUGCUGGACUAUCUGUAUAGCCUGGACACGGAGGCAUUUUGCCGGCAAGACUAUACGGAAACGUUUCUAUACAAUAUGAUAACGCUGUGCGAUCAGUACUUUAUUGAAUCGCUGCAGAACGUAUGCGAAUCCUUGAUUCUGGACAAGAUCAGCAUACGCAAGUGCGGCGAGAUGCUCGACUUUGCGGCCAUGUACAAUUGCAAACUGCUGCAGCAGGGCUGCAUGGAUUUCAUCUGCCAGAAUCUGGCCCGGGUGCUCUGCUACCGUAGCAUUGAGCAAUGCGAACCGGGCACCCUGCAGCGCCUCAACGAGCACUACCGCAAGAUGUUUCAGACGGUCUACGAGUAUCGCCAGAUAACACCCUUCUCCGAGGCCAUUGAGGAUGAGCUGCUGCUCAGCUUUGUGGACGGCAGCGAAGUUGAUUUGGAUUACCGAAUGGAUGCGGAUUCCAAGCUAAAGGAGGUUGCCAAGCACAAGCAGAAGGAGCUGCACAACAAGCAGGAUGCGCGGCACUAUGAGCAGCAGGCCAUAUCCCGAAUGCUGCGUACGCUGAGCAUAAGUGCAUCCGAUGCCGAAGCAUCGCCGAAAACAUCAGCUGCAGCUGCUGCAGCUGAGACCGCCAACUGGUCGCGCGUUGUGGACAAAAAGGAGCAGAAACGCAAAUUGGCCGAGACGGCGCUGAAAGUUAACAAUGUGCUCAAGCAGGAGGAGCAGCCCUCGCCGGACUUGGUCGCAAUAUCGCCACGUGCUCCGCCAGUAAAGGAGUCAACGCCCCCGCUGCCAUCCGCCAGUCCUACGGAGUGCAGCACGCCCCUGAGCAAGAGCUAUAAUCUGGAUCUGAGCACGCUCUUGCCACAAGCCCAAAAGCUGUCCCAGAAGCAGCGCAAGCGUCUCUCCUCUGAAUCACAGCAGCAGCAGCAGCAGAGCUGGCGCGCCCAAAGUUCAGUUCAGCCGCUGGAGCUGAGCACGCCCGUCGCCGUGCCCAAUGCAUGGGGCGUAACUGGCACAUCGCCCCCAGCAUAUGGCGAGCCCUUUAGCUCACCAACUGCUGCAACGGGCAGCAGCUCGGAUCCCACCUCCUUUGCCAAUAUGAUGCGUGGAGCAGAGCCGGGCAACAGUUUCUCCCAGAUCGUGGCCGAUGAACGUCGCCAGCGCGAGAGCUACGAGCGCAUGCGCAACAAAUCUCUGGUUCAUACCCAGAUCGAGGAGACGGCCAUUGCCGAGCUGCGUGAAUUCUAUAAUGUCGACAACAUUGAGGACGAGACAAUCACCAUAGAGCGCAAGUCCAGGCCCAGCACCAUUAACUUUUCCACCUGGCUGAGGCAUUGAGCCGACAAUUUCUUUGCCAAUACAUUUAUUCAUGUCGAUCUGUGCGCGUGUGCGUGUGUGUUGUUGGUUGUGCGUGCGUAUGCGUGUGUUCGUGUGUACGGAAUAAAGACGCGGCGUCGCGUUGGCGCUUCAGAUGUAGAACUCGGAACCACCUGCAAAAGGUGCAUUUAGGAAUUCAGCAUUCAGAUUAAAAGCUAGUUAAAAUGGGACAGCACAUUGCGGACAAAUACAGUGAUCGCUCGAGAUAUUUACAAGCUUGGGACACACGCAUAGCGAAUGAGGCAACAAAACAC
This 3972-nucleotide unclassified non-coding RNA is filed under the name Drosophila virilis. RNAcentral describes it as "GJ17202". Lineage: Eukaryota; Metazoa; Arthropoda; Insecta; Diptera; Drosophilidae. The record is from RNAcentral.